Molecule: long non-coding RNA, 1882 nt
Organism: Pseudopipra pipra
Lineage: Eukaryota; Metazoa; Chordata; Aves; Passeriformes; Pipridae
Exons: 5
Source: RefSeq, a predicted model, not a curated record
ACAUUUUAUUUCUCUGAAAACAGCCCUUACAUCUGAUGUCCCUUAUUUAUAGCCAUACUUGUGCUGUUUUGCAGUCACUGGAGCAACCAGCAACACUGUGCAACCAGUUCUAAGACAACAGCCAUGUUACUGAAACAGAACACUGCUGGAGUAUGCCUGCAAAGUCAGGACCAAAGGAUUCCCAGUGCCCAUUUGAGCGCGAUACCUUGCUGCAGGAAUGGAAUUCCUCAUAAAAGCAGGUGCACAAAAGAACUAGGAACAUUCCUUUUUUGGCCAGCUCCCCUUACUUGUGCUGGCUGCAGGCCACACAGGAAAUUCUCUUGUCAGGAACUCCCUCCCACAAAUCCAGACAUGCAGAAGCUCAGCACAGGAAGUCAGGCUGUCAUGGCUCCAGGCAUUGUUAAUCAUUUUUAAAUGAUCAUUAAAAGGCAGCAGCAGCAGCAAAAGGAUGCGGCUCUGGUGAGGAAUCAGCCCAACUCAGUGACUUUCAAGAGAGUUGGAGACAUGUACAGACAGGAGAGCCUUUCCAGGUACUGUAAAUGAGCAAGCUAGAGAUCUCACGUUGAAGAGAUAAUGAAGGAAAAAAGCAACAGGAAAGAGAGAAGGAUGUAAAUACAAAGAAAACAGUCAAGUAACUUGAAAGAAUGUUCUGGAAUUAUAUAUAUGUUGGCCCAACAUGUGUUUUCUUUAUUCGAAAUCUGAAAUUGUUGCUCUUGGAUAAAAAAAUUCGGAGAGUGUGGAUGAAGUGAAACAUUAGGUGAUCUCCAUUAAGGCCAUUAAGCAUUAAGGCCAAAAUAGAGUGAAAGCAGUUGCAGGAUUUGGAGUUACAUGUGCAAGAACUUCAGUCACCAUAUUUUGAUUAGUCAAACUAUGCUUUCCACCAUUUCUAAACACAGGCAGUACUUUUCUCUGCAUGCCAGACAUCUACUUUAUAGAAUCCCAUUAGUCCAUCAAAGCAGAUUAUUAAUUUAUGGGCACUAUAAUUUUAUGGAAGCAUCUGAUAUAGGAAGCUAAUUUCCUUAGCUGCCCUAUUUCAGUCUUAAUGUGUUUCUUCUGCAGUGUAAAGGAGAAAAAAAAAGUGCAUAUUUGAACUUAAUAAAAUACCAUUUAAGGACAGAAGAAACAUUUGUAAUGUGAUUGCACUUGUGGGAGCACCACCUUCUCCACAGAAAUAGUAAUUUCUGUGAACAAUAAAACUUCCUAGAUACUGUGAAUUAUUUCCUCAAUACAUUUAUUUCUAUCUGACAUCUAUUUACUGAGGAAACUGGUUACACAACUAAGGACAUAGAGGCCUGGCCAAGUUUAAAAAAUUUUUUCCAAGUGUUGAUACUGUUGGUAUUUCAGAAUUGCUCCCAACUGUUUUAAAACCAGAACCAUUCAAGGUAUUUUAUGACAGGACAUAAGGGUGGUAUGACAGGAAGGAGAUCAAAAGCAGAGCAGAUUUUUCCUAGACAUAGCAUUUGCUCUCCAGUCUCUACAGAACUGCUUUCCCAUCCAUAUCUGCACCUACCUCCUUUGAACAUCACCGCGGAAAUUGGAAUUUCACCCCAAUUUAGCAAGUAGUUGAUAGACACCAUUGUAACCCUCCAGAGUGCCAGAGAAGUGUUUUGAAGACACAAAGUCUGAAUUUCCAGACAGAAAACACAGUAUGUGUUUGCCCUUCUGAUUCAUACAUUCAGUUGAGACUGUGAGAAUACCUCUGCAGGGCAAGGAAUGAAAGACUGCUUUGUUCCAUCAUCCUCUUUCCCAGCCACCUGCAGGACAUCCCGACAUCACUGUCACAGGCUUCCCAGCACAGGAUGUGAGCACGUGCCUGGUACCACUGGUUGGUUUUUCAGCUGAUGCUUCUUCAUCAGCAGCAGUGGAGGUCUGCAAGCACAGG